AAAAAACAAUAAGACGUAAAUUCAAAAUCAUGUUAUUAAAACUGAUGAAAACAAUUAAGUCAAUCCCUUUUUUUGUAAGUUUUCAAAUCAUGAUCUUAAGUUUUAGAGAGUCUCCUUCAUACAGAUCAAUACCGCUACAUCCUUCUGUAAGUACCGAAGCUUUGGCCUGAACUAGGACUUGGAAAAGACCCUGUCUUCAAAAGAGGAGACCCAUUGCUUGGUAACGAGGAUUACUUUACUCGUCUAGAAGAGGAUCCUAAAGAUGAUGAGAUAGAAGAAGUAAAAACGAAACCCUCUCAUUUAAAGGAAUAGGACCCAAGAAACAGUAAAAGCUCCUCUCUCUUUCUUCUCAAAAUAAAGAAACCAUUUUAUGAACCUUCUUAUCCUGAGAGCUAUUGUUAUUCAUUUAGUCCUUUUGACACCUAACUCUUUGUGUCAAUGUAACACGAUAAGAAUCAAGAUAAAGUUUGGAAACCGUCAUAGGAGGUGUAUCCAUAAUUGACAGGUUUCUUGUGUUCUGAUGUUCAGUCUCCAGCCCAAUGAUUUCCCACUAGACACACACGAGUGUUUACAUAAUUCUUGUGUUUGGUAUUUGACAAUUUGUUAUUGCUUCGGAUCAAAAACGAGGUAAAAGUUGUCACU
This 642-nucleotide small RNA is filed under the name Arabidopsis thaliana (thale cress). RNAcentral describes it as "ATSL179580". Lineage: Eukaryota; Viridiplantae; Streptophyta; Magnoliopsida; Brassicales; Brassicaceae. The record is from RNAcentral.